GUGCCAGCCGCCGCGGUAAUACGGAGGGUGCAAGCGUUAAUCGGAAUUACUGGGCGUAAAGCGCGCGUAGGUGGUUUGUUAAGUUGGAUGUGAAAGCCCCGGGCUCAACCUGGGAACUGCAUCCAAAACUGGCAAGCUAGAGUACGGUAGAGGGUGGUGAAUUUCCUGUGUAGCGGUGAAAUGCGUAGAUAUAGGAAGGAACACCAGUGGCGAAGGCGACCACCUGGACUGAUACUGACACUGAGGUGCGAAAGCGUGGGGAGCAAACAGGAUUAGAAACCCGAGUAGUCC
Molecule: ribosomal RNA, 291 nt
Filed under: uncultured prokaryote
Description: partial 16S ribosomal RNA
Rfam family: Bacterial small subunit ribosomal RNA
Source: RNAcentral